This 310-nucleotide ribosomal RNA is filed under the name uncultured bacterium. RNAcentral describes it as "partial 16S ribosomal RNA". It matches the Rfam family "Bacterial small subunit ribosomal RNA", at positions 503 to 809 of the family's 1533-position model. The record is from RNAcentral.
AAGAGACAGCAGUAGCCACGGUAAUACAGAGGGUGCAAGCGUUAAUCGGAUUUACUGGGCGUAAAGCGUGCGUAGGCGGCUUCUUAAGUCGGAUGUGAAAUCCCUGAGCUUAACUUAGGAAUUGCAUUCGAUACUGGGAAGCUAGAGUAUGGGAGAGGAUGGUAGAAUUCCAGGUGUAGCGGUGAAAUGCGUAGAGAUCUGGAGGAAUACCGAUGGCGAAGGCGGCCCCCUGGACAAAGACUGACGCUCAGGUGCGAAAGCGUGGGGAGCAAACAGGAUUAGAUACCCCGGUAGUCCCUGUCUCUUAUAA